RNAcentral lists this long non-coding RNA (942 nucleotides) under Brachypodium distachyon (stiff brome). RNAcentral describes it as "long non-coding RNA (BDIS_LNC000460)". Lineage: Eukaryota; Viridiplantae; Streptophyta; Magnoliopsida; Poales; Poaceae. The record is from RNAcentral.
AUUAUUCGUAUCAUCAGCUGUUUCAUUCAUCCAUUCAUUCGGAUAACAUUUUGUAUUAAAGUAUAUACAAACAGUAUUGACAUGUUUCAUUUGGAAUUUAGAUCAGUGUGUCCGGCCCAGAGCAUAUAUAUAUGUUCUUCUAUUUUCAGGAAACUCAAUAACAUAUAAUCUAGCAUCAUUUCUCUUGUCAUGGAGAGAGGUAAAACACAAAGUUCAGAUCAGGCCAAAGUAUUCUGAAACUUACUUCAGAACUGCUGAAUGAACAUAGAGUUUAGGGACAAUUAAGCCUUACCUUACAGAAAAUUAAGGCACGGAUUUGCAGAAAAUUGAUGUUUAUUUUAUUUUUUUUUUAAAAAUUCCAGGGGCAUCUCAUGAAAAAAGAAGCAUUGCACUAAUUGAAGUAAAUGAAGAAUAACAUUUCAGAUUAUUCAUAAAACAUAAUUUGUUUGAUAACAUGUCAGGAAAUUGGUUCCAUAAACAAGCAAAGUAAGCAUGCAUUCCAGAUUAUUCAUAAGAAAAAGAUACAUUUGAUAGCAUCUCGGGACAUAGAUUCCACCUCACAUAACAUAACCUUGUUUAAAGCUAAAGUAGAUGUAAAAUAAAACUCGAAGAACAUGCUUCAAAGUUCUAAUUGCUCGACUUCAGUUCGCACAACUUCGCGCGCACAUGCAAGUACCAUGGAUUGAUCAGCAGCUGGUGCAGAAACAUCUCUCCCACGGAGUUAGCUGAGGUUAACGAACUAACUGCUGGUCUCUAACCAAGCAUUUCUUCUAUCACAGCCUGCAGUGAGAAAACAAGUUUGACUUAACCGCCCGGAAAAUUCAUGUGCACAGCCUAAAGAGUCUCGAGAUGAUGUCAAAACUAAGUAGACUUUUUGAAGAUGCCUCAGGUAACAUCGUCCAUGUAUAUUUGUUAGCUGUGCUAAAACUGCGCAAUGGCACA